Molecule: ribosomal RNA, 871 nt
Filed under: Gyromitra sp.
Lineage: Eukaryota; Fungi; Ascomycota; Pezizomycetes; Pezizales; Discinaceae
Description: partial large subunit ribosomal RNA
Rfam family: Eukaryotic large subunit ribosomal RNA
Source: RNAcentral
GGGAUUGCCUCAGUAACGGCGAGUGAAGCGGCAACAGCUCAAAUUUUAAAGCUCGCGCCUUUGGCGUUCGCAUUGUAAUUUGGAGAGGCAUCUUCGGUUAGGGCGCCAGCCUAUGUUCCUUGGAACAGGACGUCACAGAGGGUGAGAAUCCCGUGCCUGGCUGGCUGACCCUUUCCAUGUGAAGUGUCUUCGACGAGUCGAGUUGUUUGGGAAUGCAGCUCAAAAUGGGUGGUAAAUUUCAUCUAAAGCUAAAUAUUGGCGGGAGACCGAUAGCGCACAAGUAGAGUGAUCGAAAGAUGAAAAGCACUUUGAAAAUAGAGUUAAAAAGUACGUGAAAUUGUUGAAAGGGAAGCGCUUGAGACCAGAGUCGGCCGUGGAUGAUCAGCUGUCCUUUUUGGACGGUGCACUCGUCCGCGGUCGGGCCAGCAUCGGUUGAGCCGGCGGGACAAAGGUUUGGGGAAUGUGACUCCCUUCGGGGAGUGUUAUAGCCCCGGGCGCAAUGCCGUCAGGCUCGACCGAGGACCGCGCUUUUAUGCUAGGAUGCUGGCGUAAUGGUCUUCAGCGACCCGUCUUGAAACACGGACCAAGGAGUCUAACAUCUAUGCGAGUGUUCGGGUGUCAAACCCCUGCGCGUAAUGAAAGUAAACGGAGGUGGGAACCCUUUCGGGGGUGCACCAUCGACCGAUCCAGAAGUCUUCUGAAGGAUUUGAGUAGGAGCAUAGCUGUUGGGACCCGAAAGAUGGUGAACUAUGCCUGAAUAGGGUGAAGCCAGAGGAAACUCUGGUGGAGGCUCGCAGCGGUUCUGACGUGCAAAUCGAUCGUCAAAUUUGGGUAUAGGGGCGAAAGACUAAUCGAACCAUCUAGUAGCUGG